GCUUUGGUAUGACUUUGGAUGGACUGACAGGUUAGUGCGUACUUUGAAGUUAACUUUUAGUUAGACUGUUGUAAAUAAUACUUUAUAUAAUAAUAUAUAAUAUAUUGUGAAAUCAAUUUUCCCAUCAAUCCAGAUAAUGUGCUGAGUUGUGCUAAGAAUGAUCCCAUAACUGGAAGCAGCUGUAACACAAAAGCAAGAGCCAAUGUGGAGCAGAGGGGGGAUUCAGCCAAGCUGUGUGCACUUGCUCAGCAAGUUUGGUUUGUUCUGACAAGUGAAAUUCGUGGGAAUGUGAUUGAAUGGCAACAGAAAUUUGCCCAAAAUUCAGUUUGCGUUGUGUUUGAACACAUCUUCACUAAGUGUCUGUGUUAUGUCCGUUCUUAAAACUGAUCAUCUGUCGAGUGACAAAGAAUUGAAUAAAGUUUGUCCUGAAGCUGGAAGAUGAGUUGCAUGCAGCCAGCCUCGCAAAGAGGUACUGAGUGAUAAUCGCAGCCUCGGGUCACAGAAACACACACUUGCAUUUUCUUAUGGCAGCAAUCUGAUGCCUGAAGCUAUCCUCCCUCACAGGGGUCUUUCUCGGGGCCACUAUCCAGCUCUGGGCUCUCUGCUGGGCUGGGUUAAGAUGUUAUGGCUCCUAUCUGGUACUGAGGCAGUGAUGGUAGCGGUGGUGGCAAUCAUGGGGGCUGCAACAAACCAGGCUGAAUACACACCUUGCAUUUCACACACGCACUAACACAUCAGGGUGUCUGGUCAUGCAGAGCUAAUGCGGUCCUGCAGGACGCUGUAAUCAGUGUUAGGGCUACAGAGCAUGUCAAAACAUGCAGGAGUGAAAUCUCAAUCACGGGAUGGGACCUGACGGAGCAGAGACGAGGAGAGAAUGGGAGGGAGGUGGCGCCAUGAAAGCUAAAAGAAAAAAAGGCAGCGGUGGAAGCAGAGCGUGAGAUUCAAAUGUUACAGAUGGGUGAGGGGUCAGCCAUGACUGAACAGAAGCAAACCUUCCUCGCUGCACUCCUGGGAUGUUGCGGCAGCAGGAAAAUCAAACAGGAAAGUCUUCUCUUUCCUGCAGGUAGAAAACAAUAGUGGUAUGGGAUAACAAUAAAUAUCUUUUCUUUACUGUCCCUGCCUGUCCCCUCUGGAUCGGGUCAAUAACAGCGUUUAGUAUCAGUAACCCGGGUCCAUUAUCCUGUGUGAAGCCCUGAGAUGUAAAGCAUUACUGCCUCCUCCUGUUUCACUCCAGGGGGAAGGUGGGCAGUGGCUGAGACCUUCCUGUGGUCACAGUGGUGGAUGCAGGGUUAAACUGAUAUGUCACUUAGCUGAUACUGAUCUUUGAUUGUGGAUUUUAAGGUUGAUAUCGGCCACUCUCUGUUGUCUGACUUUAUUAUGGGACGCUUUCAUAGUUUCUCAAUGAUAUCAUUGUUGAGUAUUAGAUCUUUUCCUUUGAAAUACAUAUAUAAAAAGUGAGUUCAUCUUAUGCUUGUGGUCGAGACUUUUAAUGGUAAUGUUUGAUCACAACCACAGCUCCAGGAGGAUGACAUAUAGAGUGACACAGCGAUGGUCCUGAGUAAAGUGGACUGAGUUGUUCUAACCACAGAGGCAGAGUUAUAGUGCUUAGUCAACAGAUAAAAGUUACUGCUAACAUUCACUAAAAAUCUUGCUGUUACUGGAAACUGAUUAGAGGUAUGCUAGUUACUAAAGCCAUGAUCCAGAGAUGCCACAGAUAUACUUUUAACUAAAAUUGAUGCACUUUUGAUUAAUUAACUACAGGUUACUGUCAAUAAUGAGAACUCUAAUAUAUUGGAUUUUUCCACUGCAAUAUUUCUAGCAUUUGGGAUAUAUACAUAUUUUUUUCCCCAAAUGUUUUGGAAAAUGGCAAAGAUUUCUCAUUCUCUGUUGUUUGAUUACCAUAGUAACCAAACACAAGUAUAAAGGCCUCUAUGGACCUAUGCGGUCUUGAUUUGUCUUUACUGUACACACUUGUUUUUUUAUUAUCUAAGUGCAAAUUUUCAGCCAUCCCACCUUCAGCUGUCCUGUCGAGUCAUCUAUUCACAAAGACAGAGUACUAUUUGGCCAGUAUGCUCCUGUUUGUGCAUCAUGUGUCACAUUCAUCCAUUCCCACUAUCACACAUUGAUGGCUGAUGCUGCUAUGUCAAGCACCCAUCAGUUGGCCAAUCCCAUUCACACACCGCUGGGCAGUGGGCACAGCCAGCACGGGCAGUUUGGGGUCAAGUUCCUCUCCCAGGAACAACACGGCAUGUGGACAGCAGGACCUGGGAUCCAUCCCCUGACCUUUUGAUUGAAAGAUGAGCGACUCUAUCACUGAGCCACAGCUGCCCCAACUGACCCUGCCCACCAAGAAAUAUCACAUUAGUAACAGAGCUAUCACUAGUGCUGCUCAGUUAUGAAAUUAAUUUAGGGUCAAACACACCAUAACCCGAGUUAGACACCUCCUUGAGAGAUAAAUGUUGCAGACCGCUUGCUUCUCUAGUUUUACCAACUUUAGUAAUGACCGCACGGUAGCAAUACACAGCGGUCUGAGGAGCCAUAAACAAACCUUAACCAUAACGCCACUCUAUAGCCACAAAUAAUGCUCAGAACAGCACCUAACUUCAUCAACAGUACAUAUAGGGUCCUAGCCACAGCACUAGCCACCAAACAACUUUCUAACUUUACCUAAUUUAUUUUGCAAAGAGACUAAACACAACUUACCCACUCUCUCUCAGCAGCUGCUUGUUUGUAGCAAGAAAGCCCAAAGAAGAACAUUUAUGAUCAUUUCUUUAUCAUUUCCUUGAAGUAAUAAUCAUCAUAAUAAUCAUUUUGCACUGCAGACGUGGUAGUUCUUCUGCCUUAGCGUCUCAGUCUGAUUGCAUUUCCAUGAAGAAAUGUCUAGCAACAGGAAUGACAAGUAAAACUCCUUUGAAUCCUUUGCCAAUACACCCCCCCC
This 2938-nucleotide long non-coding RNA is filed under the name Xyrichtys novacula (pearly razorfish). The record is from RNAcentral. Lineage: Eukaryota; Metazoa; Chordata; Actinopteri; Labriformes; Labridae.